RNAcentral lists this ribosomal RNA (491 nucleotides) under uncultured bacterium. Its description in RNAcentral is "partial 16S ribosomal RNA". It matches the Rfam family "Bacterial small subunit ribosomal RNA", at positions 29 to 506 of the family's 1533-position model. The record is from RNAcentral.
AGUGAACGCUGGCGGUAGGCCUAACACAUGCAAGUCGAACGGCAGCACAGUAAGAGCUUGCUCUUACGGGUGGCGAGUGGCGGACGGGUGAGGAAUACAUCGGAAUCUACUUUUUCGUGGGGGAUAACGUAGGGAAACUUACGCUAAUACCGCAUACGACCUACGGGUGAAAUCAGGGGAUCUUCGGACCUUGCGCGAUUGAAUUAGCCGAUGUCGGAUUAGCUAGUUGGCGGGGUAAAGGCCCACCAAGGCGACGAACCGUAGCUGGUCUGAGAGGAUGAUCAGCCACACUGGAACUGAGACACGGUCCAGACUCCUACGGGAGGCAGCAGUGGGGAAUAUUGGACAAGGGGCGCAAGCCUGAUCCAGCCAUACCGCGUGGGUGAAGAAGGCCUUCGGGUUGUAAAGCCCUUUUGUUGGGAAAGAAAAGCAGCAGGUUAAUACCCCGCUGUUCUGACGGUACCCAAAGAAUAAGCACCGGCUAACUUCGU